GGGGGCGAGGGGGCUCGCCAGAGCGGCCCGGCGGUCCGCCGCCGCCUCUCCGCGGGACGGAGGAGGGAGGCAGCGCAGACUUAUCGCAUGGUCACAUGAGUUUCUCCACAAAACAGAGCAUUUGGCCUGAAGGACAAGCAACAUUUGUGCAUUAUCAUCUGUAACAGCAAAUGUAUUUAUCAGGAAGUGAUAAAGCAAAGAGUAAUGAAUUAGAACUAUGAGGAAUAAAUAACACACAGCAUGGCUUUCAUAUGGAG
Long non-coding RNA from Harpia harpyja (harpy eagle), 257 nucleotides. RefSeq lists it as uncharacterized. The transcript is spliced from 4 exons. The record is from RefSeq and is a predicted model, not a curated record. Lineage: Eukaryota; Metazoa; Chordata; Aves; Accipitriformes; Accipitridae.